UACGUAGGGGGCAAGCGUUGUCCGGAAUCAUUGGGCGUAAAGAGCGUGUAGGCGGCUCGGUAAGUCCGCUGUGAAAGUCCAGGGCUCAACCCUGGAAUGCCGGUGGAAACUGUCGAGCUAGAGUCCUGAAGAGGCGAGUGGAAUUCCCGGUGUAGCGGUGAAAUGCGCAGAUAUCGGGAAGAACACCUAUGGCGAAGGCAGCUCUCUGGGACGGUACUGACGCUGAGACGCGAAAGCGUGGGGAGCAAACAGG
RNAcentral lists this ribosomal RNA (253 nucleotides) under uncultured bacterium. RNAcentral's name for it is "partial 16S ribosomal RNA". It matches the Rfam family "Bacterial small subunit ribosomal RNA", at positions 524 to 776 of the family's 1533-position model. The record is from RNAcentral.